UCCGGUUCAUCACCGGCAGUCUCCCUAGAGUGCCCACCAUUACAUGUUGGCAACUAAGGACAAGGGUUGCGCUCGUUACGGGACUUAACCCAACAUCUCACAACACGAGCUGACGACAGCCAUGCAGCACCUGUCUCCUGGUUCCUUUCGGCACUUCCGCCUUUAAGCAGAAUUCCAGGGAUGUCAAGAGUAGGUAAGGUUUUUCGCGUAGCAUCGAAUUAAACCACAUGCUCCACCGCUUGUGCGGGCCCCCGUCAAUUCAUUUGAGUUUUAAUCUUGCGACCGUACUUCCCAGGCGGAGAACUUAUCGCGUUAGCUUCGAUACCAAACAGCCAAGCUGCCUGACAUCCAGUUCUCAUCGUUUACAGCGUGGACUAC
RNAcentral lists this unclassified non-coding RNA (378 nucleotides) under uncultured Gammaproteobacteria bacterium. Its description in RNAcentral is "contains 16S-23S intergenic spacer region". The record is from RNAcentral. Lineage: Bacteria; Pseudomonadati; Pseudomonadota; Gammaproteobacteria.